CGGUACGUACUGGCAUUGUUGGUUUCUCCCUUCUGACGAACCAUGAUGUCAUUUAUUUGGUGUUGUGGGGAAUCAGGACUGUUACUUUGAAAAAAUUAGAGUGUUUAAAGCAGGCUCACGCUUGAGUACAUUAGCAUGGAAUAAUGAAAUAGGACGUUUGAUUCUAUUUUGUUGGUUUCUAGGAUCGACGUAAUGAUUAAUAGGGAUAGUUGGGGGCAUUAGUAUUCAAUUGUCAGAGGUGAAAUUCUUGGAUUUAUUGAAGACUAACUACUGCGAAAGCAUUUGCCAAGGAUGUUUCCAUUAAUCAAGAACGAAAGUUAGGGGAUCGAAGACGAUCAGAUACCGUCGUAGUCUUAACCAUAAACUAUGCCGACUAGGGAUCGGAUGAUGUUAAUUUUUUAAUGACUCAUUCGGCGCCUUACG
Molecule: ribosomal RNA, 423 nt
Filed under: uncultured Glomeromycotina
Lineage: Eukaryota; Fungi; Glomeromycota
Description: SSU rRNA
Rfam family: Eukaryotic small subunit ribosomal RNA
Source: RNAcentral